This 632-nucleotide ribosomal RNA is filed under the name uncultured bacterium. RNAcentral's name for it is "bacterial SSU rRNA". It matches the Rfam family "Bacterial small subunit ribosomal RNA", at positions 56 to 680 of the family's 1533-position model. The record is from RNAcentral.
UGCAGUCGAGCGGUAACAGAUCUAGCUUGCUAGAUGCUGACGAGCGGCGGACGGGUGAGUAACGCGUAGGAAACUGCCGAGUAGUGGGGGAUAGCCCAGAGAAAUUUGGAUUAAUACCGCAUACGCCCUACGGGGGAAAGGAGGGGAUCUUCGGACCUUUCGCUAUUCGAUGUGCCUGCGUGAGAUUAGCUUGUUGGUGAGGUAAAGGCUCACCAAGGCGACGAUCUCUAGCUGGUUUGAGAGGAUGAUCAGCCACACUGGGACUGAGACACGGCCCAGACUCCUACGGGAGGCAGCAGUGGGGAAUAUUGCACAAUGGGGGAAACCCUGAUGCAGCCAUGCCGCGUGUGUGAAGAAGGCCUUCGGGUUGUAAAGCACUUUCAGCAGUGAGGAAAGGUUGUAAGUUAAUACCUUGCAGCUAUGACGUUAACUGCAGAAGAAGGACCGGCUAACUCCGUGCCAGCAGCCGCGGUAAUACGGAGGGUCCGAGCGUUAAUCGGAAUUACUGGGCGUAAAGCGCGCGUAGGCGGCUAGGUCAGUCAGAUGUGAAAGCCCCGGGCUUAACCUGGGAAUUGCAUCUGAUACUGCUUGGCUAGAGUACAGAAGAGGGUGGUGGAAUUUCCUGUGUAGCG